Molecule: ribosomal RNA, 477 nt
Filed under: uncultured bacterium
Lineage: Bacteria
Description: bacterial SSU rRNA
Rfam family: Bacterial small subunit ribosomal RNA
Source: RNAcentral
AUUAAACGCUGGCGGCAUGCCUUACACAUGCAAGUCGAACGGCAGCACGGGGCAACCUGGUGGCGAGUGGCGAACGGGUGAGUAAAGCAUCGGAACGUGCCCUGGAGUGGGGGAUAACGUAGCGAAAGUUACGCUAAUACCGCAUAUUCUGUGAGCAGGAAAGCAGGGGAUCGCAAGACCUUGCGCUCUGGGAGCGGCCGAUGUCGGAUUAGCUAGUUGGUGGGGUAAAGGCCUACCAAGGCGACGAUCCGUAGCGGGUCUGAGAGGAUGAUCCGCCACACUGGGACUGAGACACGGCCCAGACUCCUACGGGAGGCAGCAGUGGGGAAUUUUGGACAAUGGGCGCAAGCCUGAUCCAGCCAUUCCGCGUGCAGGAUGAAGGCCUUCGGGUUGUAAACUUCUUUACUACGCGAAUAGAGGUUAGUACGAGAUACUAAUAGGAAGGUAGUGUAGUAAAAAGCACCGGCUAACUCCGUG